RNAcentral lists this long non-coding RNA (6936 nucleotides) under Lotus japonicus. RNAcentral's name for it is "long non-coding RNA (LJAP_LNC000847)". The record is from RNAcentral. Lineage: Eukaryota; Viridiplantae; Streptophyta; Magnoliopsida; Fabales; Fabaceae.
GAACAGACCCCGAGCGAGGCGAGGUAGAGCACGAACGAGGCGAAGCAGAUGAGAUUGAAGGCGGAUUUCAAUCUUCUGGGCUUUGGUUCUUUUCUUUUCGUUUCUUUUCUUUCGUUUUUCUGAUCUUUGUGGGUCUCUGAUUGUUGUUUUUUUAAGGGGUUCUUUGCUUCUUGCAGAAAUUGGUGGAAUGAUAUGGGGUUUAGGGUUUCUGCCGCUCCUUCAAUCAUCAGGAAUGUUUUCGUUUUGCUAAUUUCAGCUUUCACCCACUACCAUUGCAUGUUUUGUUCUCUGUCAUCUGAAUCCUUGAUCUUUCAACGUUUUAACUUAUAUUCGAUUAUCCAUCUUUAUUGUUUCAGAUUAAUCUGAACCAGAGCGUGUCAUUUCCGUCAAUCCGUCAUCAUCGUCCAGGUCUAGCGCUUCAACUCUUUUCUUUCUCUUUAUUGUUUCAGGUUUUUUCUUCCCUUUUUGUACUCUGUUGUUCUCUUUCAAUUAGAUUAGUUAAUUUCCAAAUUAAUUAUGUCUCUUACAAUUCUUUGAAAAUAUGAUUAUAAUUGUUACUACUGUUAAAAAAAGAGUGUAUAAUUGUUACUUUUCCAGGAUACAAAUCCAAAUACCCUGAGCUUCCUGGUGUGGAUUGUAUAUUAGGCUUCGUAAUGUUGCUUCCACGAAUCUAAUAAAUCAGUUUUACAUAACAAACAAGCUCAAUUCACCACACCACACCCUCAAUCAAUCCUCCAAUAUGGAACACAAACUCAAACCAUAAUUAGUCAAGGAUGAUUGAUUUGUUUAAACCAUCAUCAAGGGUCAGUGAGUAAUGGGUUUGGUUUGGCUUAGCAGAACCUGAUGUAUCCAAAUUACUGGGAAAUUUUCAAGAUUUCCCAGAAAAGUUUAUGAUCCAAAUUCUGUAACUUAACUUUGGUUUGUGUUUUUCACUGAUUCAGAAGAUGAUGUGAAAUGGAGGAUCAUUACCAUUUAAGGACACGUUGAGUUGAAUCAGGUAACGUCAUUUUCUUAUUGCCAAUAUAAUUCAUUAACGGCCCAUCUCUUUAAACUUUAAGGUUUUUUUUUUAAUGUGUUUAAAGAAUUUAUGAUGAAACCACGUUUUUUGACAUUGUUAGUUAUAGCACUUUUAAAAUUGAAUGAUUGAAGUAAGUUGUAACAACAGGGCAAAAGUGUCAUGCUAAGAAACUUUUGUUUAUGAAAUCAUGUGAAUUGUAGCAUUGAUUUGGAAAGCACUGUAGAUGUUUCAUGUAAAAAGCUGUAGUUGCAGAUGUAAAUUUAAUUGGUGAAGGUCUGAAUGAGUGGCAGCGGCGCGAAGGAAGACAGGAUGGCUGGAUCGAAAUGCAACGGGACCAGCGAAAUGAGUUUCUGCAGCCCCAUUCCAUUGAGAGAAGAUCCUCAAUCAGGUAAGACAUAUUUUUCCUCCUCACUAAUUUGUAUCUUUGCAGUUACAUUUUAGCUUUUGCUACAAACUCUCUGUGUGUUUCUCUUCGUACAAUGCAACUCAUGCUGCAUUUCUUCCACAGGUUGAACAAUGAUGUGUACGGAACUUUGGACACUCAUUUUCAUUUUGCCAUUCAGAACCUCUUCUCCUCUGCCGCUCAGCUAAGCCCACCAUCUGAUUACGUCGUCAAGGUCUUCCUUCUGAUGAGAUCGACGAUCAAUUUCGUUCUUAGUUAAGUGGUUUUUUGUGCACUAGCUUGCUUGGCUUCUUCCCACAUCUAUGUGUUUCAAUCUCUAUCUCUGUAAAUAGUGUUGCUUUUAUUUUUUAACUGUGCAAGUUGGGUACUGAGUGAUAUCUUUGAAAAGUUUUAAAUUUACAUUUCUCUCAUUACUUUGUGCUUAUAGUUUUCCUUUUUCAUUUCUCUCAUGGUAUAUAACUAAAAGCCAUUUUGUCAUUUGGAACUCAAGGAUGAUUAUGACAUUGGAGAAUGUAAGGCCCAAGUUUUAACGCUUUGGAUAAGUGAAUAAAAUAAAAGAGUUUAUUUGAUUAAGAUAAAUUUGUGAAGGAAAAAGGUUCAGGAAAAGUCCAAGAAUUAUCGAAAAACCGAUAAGAGUUAUAGCACGACUAACAUACGCUUAAUCCUAGGUCAAAGGUAUUAGUGAAUAGUUAAUUUACGCUUUAGGACACGAUGGAAACUAAUUCCAAAAAUCCUCAGAGAAAUGUUAGAACUUCUCUUUUCCGUCCUUAAACAAUUAUUUCGAUGCGAAAUCCUGGAAAGUACGAACGUCAAAUUCCAAUUCUCGGAAGUUUGCCGAAACGGAAUCCUUGAUAGUUCGAGAAACCUAAGAUCGACAGACGAUGAAGACUUUUUCUAUUCGGAGCUGCAAAUGAAGAUUCCACCCGCGUUCUCCUAUUUCUUUCGUUAAUCCCAAUCUUUCUUCAGAAGGAAGUUUUCUCAUCCGACGAUCACUGCAAAAAGUAGUUUUUCGGGAUAAACCGACUUACACCGACUUAUGCCGAUUUUGGAUCUUUUGGUUUAAUUCCAAGAAUCCUGUUUUGAGUUCUGGAAUUCUGUUGCCAGAACCAAUCUUAGAAUUCGCAGAGGAACGCGCAGGAAAAAUCGGAACCGCGAAAAAAUCAUUUUUCCGCUUUUUCCAAAACCUAUAAAUAGCUUGAAAAUUAGAUUUUUUGCAAAAAAAUACCCAUUUCCCCUCCCCAAACCCGCGAGCACCUAGAGAGAGAGAGAGAGAAUCUGGAUCUUCGUCGUUUCUUGCCCGUUUGCUUCACCGAUCGUCGCUAAUCGAAGACCUCGAGGUAGGUAAACUAUACUCUCCUUCGAAUCGUCGUUUCUGUCCACUUCUCCUACGUCUUUCUGAGUUCAAAAUUUUGAGGUUUUUGAAAAACUGUCCAAAUAAGCUGAUAUCAGCGUCUAAACUUCUUCCCUGCAUGCUCCUGAGCGUGUUCUGCGGAUUAGAUUUUGUCAAAUGUCGACGAAAUGCCGCCGGGAUCAAUUUCUACCUUAAAUACCCAUUUUUCGGUAAAGUCGCAACCUUUAAGCUCUAAUCUAUCGACUUGGCUUAGUGCUAGUAGGAUUUGUCGUCAUAAACGUCGUUGUGGACGUCUCCAUCCAAUCUGUUUUUCAAAAAUCCAGUUUUGAAAUUCUGAGCUAAAAAUAAUGACCAAACUACCCCUAUAUCAGUUUUCGAUCCGAAAAUUUUUCCGAGCCUAGAACCGUCUUAGUUACGGCUUAUGUUAACCUAGGAACCAAGUUUGAUCGAAGAAAAAUCGACCCUCCCAAUUAAAGGAAGUGGCCGAGAGCUAUAUCAAGGGGGGGAAGAAUCCGAUUUUUCGAAAACUUGUCUUAACGCGUUAGAUUGUCGUACCACGGAGGUUGUAGUGUACCGUGUGACCCUAGGACUCUUUGAUUGCUGAGUUUCUGACUCUUGGUGUUGAUUUCUGUGAUUUCUGCUUAAGGUUCUUUUGAGGAGAUUCUUGGAGAACAAGGAGAAGAGCGUGAAGGACACUUGGAGGAGGAAGCUGGAAGACCCACCGGUGAGGGCUACUCUCUGAAUUACUAGAUAAUGCUUUAGGGGUCGACAAAUUCGACUUGAUUUAUGUGUUAUGCACUAAAUUGCUAAAUGUCUGAAUUGUUCUCUGAGGCUUCGGCCGACCUUGCUGAGUAUUUGAUGCCAUGAUAUUGUGUGCUAAAUGAUUCACAUGCUACGUGCUACAUGGUUAACUUAGGAUGUGUUGGAAUAUGCUGUUUAUGCUUUUGGCUGAGCUGUUUUAUUUAUGCUAUUCCACUUAUACAUGAGAUUCUGAGGAGUGAGGAUUACGGGCAGGUCAUGCCAAAUUUUUAUGAGAUUUUGAGAGAGUUUUAAAGGACGAACGGAGUUCGGACCUUGUUAUGUUUUAAUGGAUCGAGACCUUCUCAGGGAAUUAUUUGAGAUUGUGGGAUCUCUGAAAACUCUUAGGAAGUAUUAUAAGAUUAAAAUGAAAACUAUUUUAUCACGGAAAACCCAUAAGACAUUAAUCAAUUUCUAAAUUCUUUGAACAAUAAUAAUACCCUUAGAUAAGAGCUUAGAGCCUGAAUAUUAGUUUGGGAAAUAUGAGAAGUGUCGUCGAGUCCACGUUUUGAGGAAAUAUACAAGUCUUCGAGUAUGUUGAAAACUCUUUUGCUCGAUGAGCAGUUUAAUGUUUGGCUAUCUAAAGUUUAGCCGGAGACUAUGAGUUUCCAAGUACUUCGGUACCUUUUCGCUCGAUGAGCAGUUUAUUGAUUGGCUAUCUAAAGUUUAGCUGGGAACCAUGAGUUCCAAAGCAUCUUUUCUUCUUUUGAUUAAUUCAUUUUUGUCGCAGAAUCGACAUUUGCCUUAGGGUAUUUUUUUUAGAGACCUUAAGUUACUUAGAACACGUGGCGACGUGUCGGGUGAGGUCGGAGACGUUGUUUGGCUAAUCACUUGCAUUCAUGCACUCAUUUUGAGGUUAAUACACGGCGUGAUACCGGACCUCGGUGGAUUCCAAAAUGGUCAUAAGACCCGGAUUUCCAUAUUUAGGACACUACGGUGGUCCUCAGUAGCAGACGGAAUGGCAGACCUACGGGUUCACUGCUAAUCUGACUACUUUUGUGUGGUGUAAGAGACACGCGAGCAGGAAGGUACCCACCGUGGCUGGUGUUAGGGCCGCCUCGUUGAUGUCCAUCCUUCUUCCGGAAUGCAUUUUGUUACCCAGCAUUGCAUUUCAUGCAACAUACAUGCUGACUUAGUUGCUGAGUGUGAUUGGUACCUGUUUAUCAUAUUUGAGGCAUGCUAUUUGUUAUUAUGAUUUCUUAUAUUCAUUAUGAUACUUGCAACCCUAGGAAGUCAUCCCUAAAAUUAUAAGCCUGAGAGGCAAAUAUUUAUUAUCCUAUAUUAUAUCUGGUUUUAUUAUUUAUAUAAUUCUUUGGAGUUGACCCUCGCGUCUGCUGUGUGUGUUUGGGCGGACUACGCCAUUUGUCAGAUGAGUAUGGCGGAUUGGUUUACGAUGGUCAGCCCCUCGGGGGGGACCAGGUACGAGAUGCUUGAUCAGGACGACCCAGGUGCAUGGGUGGUCGACCCCAUAGGCCACUGUGCGACCUACACCGGUCGGAUCAUGGAGGACCGUGUUGACCGAUUCGGACGCUUGACGGAGGGGGUGAUGAGGAGACACAUAGUGAGCUUCAACUUGCCGCCUGGUGUGCAUUGUGGACCCGGCUUGGGAGGACCACCACCACCACCAUCUUCGGAUGAGGAGGACCCCUCUGAGGAGGUGCCAGUGGGUGAGGUUUCGAUGGAGUCUAGUCCGUCUACUGUUGCUGCUGUCGUCGCGGAUCUCGUUCCGGGCCCCGAGCCCGAGAGGCCAGUGCAGGAGCGCAUCAGGGUGGACAGAGAGGGCAGCGUUGUGUAUGUCGACCUAGUCGUCCUGGAUGUAGAUUCGGACGACGACCGCGCUAGCAUGUAGGAUCGAGUGCUAGGGUGGGCUCCUCGAGUAGGGAUUAGUGUAGGAGUUGUGUCGAUGCUCUGACCGUCAUGUUUUCAGUUUUGGGACAGGGUAGUUCCUGCCGGUAGCUUUUUGUGUGGUUUUCUUAUGAAGAUCACAGAGAGCUGGUUGGACUAGGGAGGUCUUUUCUUUAGGCCACUGGGCCAAUUUGUUCUCAGUUUUUGAGGUAGGGUGUUGCGGACACAGGUUACCUUGGUUUGUACAUAUUGCCUUCGGGCGUUACUUUCUUCCGUCACCCGUCGCUUGAGGUUACUCGCGAUGUGGCUGGUACUAGUGUGGGCAUGUAUAUAUUUAUGUAGAUGUAUAUUAGUUUUCUUUUACCUUUUGUCGAGAAGUUUAUUUUCUUUCAGUCUUUCAUUUUAUUAUCAAAAAAAAAUAAUUCACGUUUUUCCGCUUAAGUUAUUUCUUUGGUUACUAAAGUGACGCCACCGAAAUCGGGGUGUUACAGAGAAUGGCCAUCAUUGGCAAAAGAAUGUGCUAUAUAUUGGAUUAGUUUAUAUUUGCCUUUUUGGCUAGGGUAAAAUUAAAAGGGAUUUGUUGAAUAUCGAGCUAAGCUACAGGUUGAGUUUCAAAAGGAAGUUUCAGAUAUAACACUAUUAUUCUAUUUGUUAAAUGCAGCUACUAAACUAUCCUUUUAUCUGAUUCUGACAUGAUGCAUUCACUCAUUUCCUUCAUGCUUUACCAUGAAUACGGAGUAACAGAGAUUUUGGAGCUUAUAAUGUCAAGCGACUUAAGCAAGAGAUUGAAGCAAAAAUCCAGUGCUUGAAAACAGAAGCUGCAAUAAUAUCGAAUGAUGUGUUAGAGGACAAAUGUGUUGUCCUUGAAAGCAAAGUAUGAUGAUAUUGACAUUUCAUGUUAUGUUUGGCGUUCGCAAACUCAAACUGUCAAUUUUAAAAAGCUUUUUCCUAAAAGCUAUUAAAAUAAUAUUGCUACUAUUUCUUCCUUGGCUUUUGUGUGAGUUGGAGUAUACUUGAAUAUAUAGGUCCAUCAUUCUUGGUUAAGAAAAUAAAUCAAUUUUGAUCUUGAGAUUGUCAACUGAAGAAGAAAGAAGCUUAAUGGAAGAAGAGAGCAGGUGCCCUUGAAAGAAAGGUAUCGUCAUAUUGACAUGCAUGUUUGUUUGGCGUUUCCAAAGCCCCAAAUCAUGGUUUGAAAAAAGUGUGUUUGCAUGUUUGUUUGGCGUUUCCAAAGCCCCAAAUCAUGGUUUGAAAAAAGUGUGUUUCCCAUAGCUUUUAUAUUUAUCGCAACAUUUCUUCUUGCCUUUGUGACGGUUGGAUUAUCCUUGAAUAGACUAUGUUAUAUUUCCUUCAUUCUUGGUUAAGAAAAUAUAUGCCAAUUAUGUUCUCAGGUGUUGAUUGUCGCAAGAGAGAAGUUGAAUGGAAGAAGAGAGAAUCUGCAUUGCAUCUUGAAGUUAAGAACCUCACAGAGGUAUCCUUUAUGAAUGGGUUCUGCCCAGGUUAGAGCUGGCUGAGAGAAGAACG